RNAcentral lists this transfer RNA (74 nucleotides) under Nitrososphaerales archaeon. RNAcentral describes it as "tRNA-Pro". It matches the Rfam family "tRNA". From Rfam's summary of the family: Transfer RNA (tRNA) molecules are approximately 80 nucleotides in length. Their secondary structure includes four short double-helical elements and three loops (D, anti-codon, and T loops). The record is from RNAcentral. Lineage: Archaea; Thermoproteati; Nitrososphaerota; Nitrososphaeria; Nitrososphaerales.
GGGGGCGUAUGUCAGCAUGGCAGACUGCCAGCCUCGGGCGCUGGAGGUCGCCGGUUCAAAUCCGGCCGCCCCCA